Molecule: ribosomal RNA, 496 nt
Filed under: uncultured bacterium
Lineage: Bacteria
Description: partial 16S ribosomal RNA
Rfam family: Bacterial small subunit ribosomal RNA
Source: RNAcentral
AUGAACGCUUGCGGCGUGCCUCAUACAUGCCAGUCGCGCGAACAGACGAGGAGCUUGCUCCUCUGACGUUAGCGGCGGACGGGUGAGUAACACGUGGAUAACCUACCUAUAAGACUGGGAUAACUUCGGGAAACCGGAGCUAAUACCGGAUAAUAUAUUGAACCGCAUGGUUCAAUAGUGAAAGACGGUUUUGCUGGCACUUAUAGAUGGAUCCGCGCCGCAUUAGCUAGUUGGUAAGGUAACGGCUUACCAAGGGAACGAUGCGUAGCCGACCUGAGUGGGUGAUCGGCCACACUGGAGCUGAGCCACGGUCCAGACUCCUACGGGAGGCAGCAGUAGGGAAUCUUCCGCAAUGGGCGAAAGCCUGACGGAGCAACGCCGCGUGAGUGAUGAAGGUCUUCGGAUCGUAAAACUCUGUUAUUAGGGAAGAACAAAUGUGUAAGUAACUAUGCACGUCUUGACGGUACCUAAUCAGAAAGCCACGGCUAACUACGUG